RNAcentral lists this long non-coding RNA (785 nucleotides) under Mus musculus (house mouse). Its description in RNAcentral is "long non-coding RNA chr9:80102726-80103511". Lineage: Eukaryota; Metazoa; Chordata; Mammalia; Rodentia; Muridae. The record is from RNAcentral.
GGCUUGGAAAGUAUCUGUUAGAACUCCUGAGUUAGUGCUGCUUUUUCUUUCUAUGGUGAUUUUCUCUCAAUACUAGAUACAACAUGCUUGGUUUUUUUUGUUUUUUUUUUGUUUUUUCCUCAAAAUUAACAUCUAGAUUUAAAAGAAGUAUACUAUCUAGGACAUUUACUUACUCACGUUAGGUUUAUUAUAUGGUCUAUGUUGACCAAGGGCAGUGGCUUAUAAUUGUACUUCCAGCACGAAGGCAGGAGGAUUGCAUGUUUGAAGGUAGACUGCGCUAUAUAAUGAGACCCCUUCUAAAAUAACGAUAGCUAACUGUAUAUUGUUUGACAGAAUAGUUUAAUAUGUUUAGACAAGUGUAUAAUAUCCCAUGACAAGAUAAGAGCUAGACAUCACUUGUUCUAUAAUUCAUGGAUUUGUUUGAUACAUUUUUGUACUGAUAGUCUUCAAGACUAGUUUUAUUUAAUAUUCAUUUUUUGUCAAUAUUUAUUUUAUUCAUUGAUUAUUUUUAAAAUAACAAAAAAAUUGGGUGGUAUUCUGCUGGGUAAUUUGUUCAAACUGAUAGUAUUUUUAAUGUGAGUGUCAUAAAUUGGCUAAAAGGCAGUUUCAAGAGAAAAGGUCUAAAUUUUACAUUGGAGGAAUAAAUAUGUAGCUUCCAAAAUAAAAACAAACAAACAAACAAACAUAAAAAACUGGCUAAAGGUAGUGUCUGGAGUGCCAGCUACUCGAGGGACACUUGUGUUAGGCAGUUUGAGACCAUAAAUGAGAAAAGUCAGGCACUUAUC